GCCUUCUUAGCUCAGUGGUAGAGCGUUGGUCUCGUACAGAAUUCAGUUAACCAAAGGUCGAGAGUUCAAUCCUCUCAGGAGGCA
RNAcentral lists this transfer RNA (84 nucleotides) under Daphnia magna. It matches the Rfam family "tRNA". Rfam says of the family: Transfer RNA (tRNA) molecules are approximately 80 nucleotides in length. Their secondary structure includes four short double-helical elements and three loops (D, anti-codon, and T loops). Further hydrogen bonds mediate the characteristic L-shaped molecular structure. tRNAs have two regions of fundamental functional importance: the anti-codon, which is responsible for specific mRNA codon recognition, and the 3' end, to which the tRNAs corresponding amino acid is attached (by aminoacyl-tRNA synthetases). tRNAs cope with the degeneracy of the genetic code in two manners: having more than one tRNA (with a specific anti-codon) for a particular amino acid; and 'wobble' base-pairing, i.e. permitting non-standard base-pairing at the 3rd anti-codon position. Lineage: Eukaryota; Metazoa; Arthropoda; Branchiopoda; Diplostraca; Daphniidae. The record is from Rfam by way of RNAcentral.